ACUCAAAUGAAUAGACGGGGGCCCGCACAAGCGGUGGAGCAUGUGGUUUAAUUCGAAGCAACGCGAAGAACCUUACCAAAACUUGACAUCCUGUUGCCCGGUCCGUAAUGGGACCCUUCUACUUCGGUAGACAACAGAGACAGGUGGUGCAUGGUUGUCGUCAGCUCGUGUCGUGAGAUGUUGGGUUAAGUCCCGCAACGAGCGCAACCCUUAUUUUCAGUAGCCAUCAGGUCGUGCUGGGGACUCUGGAGAGACUGCCGUGGAUAACACGGAGGAAGGUGGGGAUGACGUCAAAUCAUCAUGCCCCUUAUGUUUUGGGCUACACACGUGCUACAAUGGCUGUGACAGAGGGAAGCGACAGGGUGACCUUAAGCAAACCUCAAAAAAGCAGUCCUAGUUCGGAUUGUAGUCUGCAACUCGACUACAUGAAGCCGGAAUCGCUAGUAAUCGCAAAUCAGCAUGUUGCGGUGAAUACGUUCCCGGGCCUUGUACACACCGCCCGU
This 503-nucleotide ribosomal RNA is filed under the name uncultured archaeon. RNAcentral's name for it is "bacterial SSU rRNA". It matches the Rfam family "Bacterial small subunit ribosomal RNA", at positions 899 to 1397 of the family's 1533-position model. The record is from RNAcentral.